GCGGCAAUGGCGGAAACAGGCAGACGCGCCGGCUUCAAAACCCGGUGGGGAAACCCGUGUGAGUUCGAUGCUCACUUGCCGCACCA
Molecule: transfer RNA, 86 nt
Filed under: Methylobacterium mesophilicum
Lineage: Bacteria; Pseudomonadati; Pseudomonadota; Alphaproteobacteria; Hyphomicrobiales; Methylobacteriaceae
Description: tRNA-Leu
Rfam family: tRNA
About the family: Transfer RNA (tRNA) molecules are approximately 80 nucleotides in length. Their secondary structure includes four short double-helical elements and three loops (D, anti-codon, and T loops).
Source: RNAcentral